RNAcentral lists this ribosomal RNA (250 nucleotides) under uncultured bacterium. RNAcentral describes it as "partial 16S ribosomal RNA". It matches the Rfam family "Bacterial small subunit ribosomal RNA", at positions 524 to 773 of the family's 1533-position model. The record is from RNAcentral.
UACGUAGGUGGCAAGCGUUGUCCGGAUUUACUGGGUGUAAAGGGCGUGUAGGCGGGUGCUUAAGUCAGUGGUGAAAUACCGAGGCUCAACUUCGGGGCUGCCAUUGAAACUGGGCAUCUUGAGUGCAGGAGAGGAAAGCGGAAUUCCUAGUGUAGCGGUGAAAUGCGUAGAUAUUAGGAGGAACACCAGUGGCGAAGGCGGCUUUCUGGACUGUAACUGACGCUGAGGCGCGAAAGCGUGGGGAGCAAAC